GGAAUCUUCGGCAAUGGACGAAAGUCUGACCGAGCAACGCCGCGUGAGUGAAGAAGGUUUUCGGAUCGUAAAACUCUGUUGUUAGAGAAGAACAAGGGUGAGAGUAACUGUUCACCCCUUGACGGUAUCUUACCAGAAAGGAACGGCUAAAUACGUGCCAA
RNAcentral lists this ribosomal RNA (161 nucleotides) under uncultured bacterium. RNAcentral describes it as "partial 16S rRNA". It matches the Rfam family "Bacterial small subunit ribosomal RNA", at positions 358 to 511 of the family's 1533-position model. The record is from RNAcentral.